AUGGCAUCGGCAUGUCAUGUUGCGCAGCAACCACAGCUGGCUUCACCGCAAUGCGCAACGGAAAAAGGGCACAAUCCUGACUCACCCCUGACUAAAGCAUCAUGCCACCCUCUGGUCCCCCUGCAACUCUCCUCUCUCACACCUUGCACACACACACACACCUCACGCGCAUCAUCAUCCUUUUCGACCCCUCUUUUUAUUUUUCUACACACUAGUAGUACUAUUUUGCUCCAGUUUUUUUUGCCUAGUAAUUAUAAUUGUUAUCGUGUAGUACUAGAUGGAUGGGUAGAUGGAGCACACUUAACCCCGGGAAUAAACAAGGGGCUGCUAGCCCUAGCUAGGCUAGACCAGGAAGGAAGGAGCAGCCCCAGCCUGAAUUGUCUAGCAAUUGUGGGGCGCUUUCCGGCUGCUUUUCUCGGACGGUGGUGGCGCUAG
Molecule: ribosomal RNA, 435 nt
Filed under: Triticum aestivum (bread wheat)
Lineage: Eukaryota; Viridiplantae; Streptophyta; Magnoliopsida; Poales; Poaceae
Description: partial small subunit ribosomal RNA
Source: RNAcentral